Molecule: long non-coding RNA, 2134 nt
Organism: Mustela erminea (ermine)
Lineage: Eukaryota; Metazoa; Chordata; Mammalia; Carnivora; Mustelidae
Exons: 7
Source: RefSeq, a predicted model, not a curated record
GCGCUGACUGACAUUUCAAUGGCUGGGAGGGGCAGCGGGAAGAAAGGAGGCCUAUUGUCUGCGCGUCUCCCCCUCCCUCAACACCUCAACAGGAACCGGUUUUGAGGGCUGCCUGGGCCAAAAUGAAUGCUUCUAGGGGUAUAUCCGCAGGAAUUCACUGGGGCUGAGGUUUCUGACAGUCUAAUAGGGAUACGGGUCCAAGAAGAACUUUAUUAGCAAAGUCAGGGAGGGGGUUCAGUGAUACAAUGGGUACUACGAAGUGCUUUAUCCCAGUGCUCUUUCCCAGCCCCCCUUUUCCCUGGCUUGUCAUUAUGACAGGGUCUGGUAAAGCUUAGAGGGAAGAAAGAGAAGGGGGAGGGGGAGGACAGAGGCAGGAAGGAAGGCGCUUUGCCAGUUUCAGUUCUGGCUAAUGAGUCUGCCCUUGAUGAAUGGGCUCCCUUCUCUGGCCCUCCGCGGAAGCAUAUCUCUGUGCUUUGUGACUUCACAGUCAUUCCCAUGAGGAGGCGGCCUCCGUUUUUCUAGCUCUCGCGGCUGAACUGGCCUUGUCACUUGCUUUGGCCCACAGAGGAGGGCAAAGUGAUGGACUGGUCCCGAAGCGGCUUCGACCUUCUCCUGGAAAUGCUGCUGGGUGGCCGGGCAGGACAAGCUCAGGGAAGCCUGACAGGCAUGCGGCCCAGUGCCCCCUUCAGAGAAUGACCCACCCUGCUGACCCAUGAGGAAACCCCACAGAGAAAACCCGUGCCCAGCCGAGCCUGCCCCAGCUGCCUCCCCACAUAGACGAUGAUGUGAUUGCUGGAACUCCGCAGCCAUUAAGCAACCAUGAGGGAAAAGAACAAGACGCCUUAUUUUGUCAGGCACCAGUGUUAUCUGCCAAGCUGCUAGGGGAAGAAUCCUACCUGGAAGGCUCUCAUGGUUGGGAAGGAUGUGGGAAGAACCAACUCCUACCGACCUCCCACAAACCCCACUUAGGACAUCUCCAGAAGGCUCCCCAUUACCACAGAGCCUCUCUCCCUAAUUGUUAGAAAGUGACAUCCAGCUCUACCAUCAUCUGCCUACUUACAGCUCUCACCCACAGGUUGAAGUCCUCCUUUCUAGCGCUUCCCACGUUGCUCCUUUGAGUUUGUCUCCGAGUCAGCAGCCACCCGGGGGACUUGCCAGAAAUGCUGAGUCACAGGCCCACUCGUCGACAGGGGGCCAGUUUGGGACCCUGCUCCAGAUCCCCUGGUGCCUCUCCUUGCCCGGGCACCCUCGGGCAAAGACCCUUCCCCAGUCUAGCAUGGGAUGAAAUGCACGGAAUGAAUACAGAACAACCAGGCAGAUGAAACACCUCGCUUCUUCGUCUGAAGUGUAUAAUUUCCUACCUAGCUCUCGAGGGGCACCUCAGUCAUCACGAAGAAAGCAUGGGUACUACCGUGGGCAGUCAACCAUGAAAAGCCACAACCAGUGCUGUCAAGUUCCAUAAAAUGAAAGAGAAACCAAUUAGUCCAAGCGGAGAAGAGGCUGGCUGGGCCCCAGCACCUGUCGCAGACACUCCACGCCCACACCCACCCAAACUGCAGUCUCCGCUCAGGCAAGCCCACUCUGCCUGGGCAUCUCCAGAUCUGCCUGGCAUGGACAGGGGGUCCCGGGGAGUCUCCAACCUCUCUCCUGAGAAUCUAUCUCGUCAGUACCUGGGACAGCAGUCUUGGCGGUCUCCCUUACGGAACUUCUAAAACAAGCCUCCAGACCUGCCAGUUGUCUGAAAAGUGAUCCAAUCAGAUUCUUGGCACUUUAUGCUUCCCAGGGGCUCCUGAGAAGUGCCUGUGCCCACAGGAAGAGAUAAAGGGUACAGACACAUGCAUGGACCCUACUCUGUUCCCUGACCGCUCCUGAACUUUCUCCAAGGAAACCCGAUUCUUGGGAGUGAGUGUUCUCUACCUGAGUGAUUCCAGGGAGAGUGAAUUUUAGGUAGAGUGCUUUAUGAAGCCUUAGUUGCAUUAAUAUGUCCACCCAGAAGUGUGGGCUCUCGGGGCACUCCCUCUCAGGGACCUCCAAACCGCAUGGCGGGAGCUCUCUCGCAACGCUUCCUCUCUAUGAGGAAGACAUUUCAGGGCUCCAAGGUCAAUGUUAGGAGGCUGUGAGGCCAUGAUUCCCU